GAAAUGCGAUAGCUAGUGUGAAUUGCAGAAUUACGCGAAUCAUCGAAUUCUUGAACGCAUCCGGCGCCUGGAGGCUAUCCUCCAGGCACGCCUGUUUGAGUGUCGAUUCAUUCACUAUCCUAAUAAAGAAAAUAUUUAUUUAUAUUUUUUUUAAAAGGGAAAUGAAAGUCUAAUGAUUUAUUAUUAGUCUUUUGAAAUGUAUCGGCCAGCAUUCAUUUUGCAAGGCAGGUUAACAUUACAGGUUCGGUGUCACUUGUGACUCAUCCCUGAAAUGUCCUACUUUUUGUAAUUUGUAUAUUUUUAAUGCUCGGUUCAAAGGGAAAAAAUUAAAAUCUUAUGUUGUUUCUACAACGUAACAUUCAAAACAACCUUCGACCUCAAAUCAGGUGAGAUUACCCGC
Molecule: unclassified non-coding RNA, 400 nt
Filed under: uncultured fungus
Lineage: Eukaryota; Fungi
Description: sequence contains ITS1
Rfam family: 5.8S ribosomal RNA (bases 1-105)
Source: RNAcentral